This 537-nucleotide ribosomal RNA is filed under the name Clostridioides difficile. RNAcentral describes it as "bacterial SSU rRNA". It matches the Rfam family "Bacterial small subunit ribosomal RNA", at positions 1 to 563 of the family's 1533-position model. Lineage: Bacteria; Bacillati; Bacillota; Clostridia; Peptostreptococcales; Peptostreptococcaceae. The record is from RNAcentral.
UUUUAUUUGAGAGUUUGAUCCUGGCUCAGGAUGAACGCUGGCGGCGUGCCUAACACAUGCAAGUUUAGCGAUUUACUUCGGUAAAGAGCGGCGGACGGGUGAGUAACGCGUGGGUAACCUACCCUGUACACACGGAUAACAUACCGAAAGGUAUGCUAAUACGGGAUAAUAUAUUUGAGAGGCAUCUCUUAAAUAUCAAAGGUGAGCCAGUACAGGAUGGACCCGCGUCUGAUUAGCUAGUUGGUAAGGUAACGGCUUACCAAGGCGACGAUCAGUAGCCGACCUGAGAGGGUGAUCGGCCACAUUGGAACUGAGACACGGUCCAAACUCCUACGGGAGGCAGCAGUGGGGAAUAUUGCACAAUGGGCGAAAGCCUGAUGCAGCAACGCCGCGUGAGUGAUGAAGGCCUUCGGGUCGUAAAACUCUGUCCUCAAGGAAGAUAAUGACGGUACUUGAGGAGGAAGCCCCGGCUAACUACGUGCCAGCAGCCGCGGUAAUACGUAGGGGGCUAGCGUUAUCCGGAUUUACUGGGCGUAA